AAAAAGGAAAAGGAAAAGAAUGAUAAGCCCAAAAGGGCUCAAAAAGGUAACAAAAAUAGGUGCAAGUUGUGUGAGGUACUUGGGCACAGAAUUGGUUCAUCCAAGUGCAUCUACACUCCUCAGAGGCCAAAGAGGAAGCGUGCAGAAAAAGCCCCACCGCUUGUUGUUGAACAAUGCUGGCCAGUGAAAAAAGCAAGACUCAGUGGCUAUAGAAGGAAGAGCACUAAGCAGAUAAUGUUUGGUGACAAAGAUAUGGAGCUAACUGAAACUGUUACUGCUGAACAUGAGCUAAGUGUUUGUGUUUUGGACGAUGUGAUGCAUACUGAAUCUGUUUUGCAGACGCUAGGGCAAUCUGAAACUAUUGCAGAUGAAGCAACUGUUGUGCUGCCAUUCGAAUCUGCUUUGACAACUGUGUUGCCAUGUUUGGAGGUUGUGCUGCCAAGUGUUGAGUUGCAAACUGAAGUAGUUGAACAAUGUGUGCCAUCUACUCAAUCUGCAGAAGUGCAAACUGAAGAAGUGAGACAUGGUCAGGUGCAAAAGUUGAGGGGGCC
Long non-coding RNA from Triticum dicoccoides, 551 nucleotides. RefSeq lists it as uncharacterized. Lineage: Eukaryota; Viridiplantae; Streptophyta; Magnoliopsida; Poales; Poaceae. The record is from RefSeq and is a predicted model, not a curated record. The transcript is spliced from 2 exons.